Molecule: ribosomal RNA, 206 nt
Filed under: uncultured bacterium
Lineage: Bacteria
Description: partial 16S ribosomal RNA
Rfam family: Bacterial small subunit ribosomal RNA
Source: RNAcentral
CGCGCAGGCGGCCUGUCAAGUCAGAUGUGAAAGCCCGGGGCUCAACCCCGGAAGUGCAUUUGAUACUGUAGGGCUUGAGUAUGGGAGAGGGAAGUGGAAUUCCUGGUGUAGAGGUGAAAUUCGUAGAUAUCAGGAGGAACACCGGUGGCGAAGGCGACUUCCUGGACCAAUACUGACGCUGAGGCGCGAAGGCGUGGGGAGCAAAC